RNAcentral lists this ribosomal RNA (657 nucleotides) under Triticum aestivum (bread wheat). RNAcentral describes it as "partial small subunit ribosomal RNA". Lineage: Eukaryota; Viridiplantae; Streptophyta; Magnoliopsida; Poales; Poaceae. The record is from RNAcentral.
AUGGAGCGCUUUGAGGACAUGAUUAGAGAAUUCAUCAAAAGCAACGAAAGGGCAAAGUGGAGACCAGUGAACAAUCCUGGUAUAAAUAACUUCACAGAAGAUGAGAUUAAAAUGAUUACGAAGAACUACAAAAAUCCCAUAGGCAAAGGUGCCUUUGGAGAAGUUUACCGAGGCGUUCUUGAUGAUGGUAGUACAGUUGCAGUCAAGAAAUAUAUCUGCCAGAAUUUGAAAGACGGGUUUGCUAAGGAGAUAUCUGUUCAUUGCCGAAUCAGCCACAAGAAUGUUGUUAGGCUCUUGGGCUACUGUUUAGAAGAAAAUGUUUUAAUGAUUGUCACCGAGUAUAUCCCUGGAGGAAACCUCAAAGGUCUUCUCCAUGGCAGCGAUGAUCACAUUUCUUUGGAUGCAAGGUUGGGUAUUGCUAUAGACUGUGCUGAGGCAUUAGCAUGCAUGCAUUCAUUGCAUCAAUCAAUCAGUCAUGGUGAUAUCAAGCCUGACAACAUACUUCUAGAUGAGAACUUGGGUGCAAAAUUAUCCGACUUUGGAAUAUCAAGGUUGCUUUGCAAGGACGGAACUGCUUACACCAUGCACGUUGCAGGAAGCAGAGGUUACAUGGAUCCAGAGCUCUUUGAAACUGGACGGGUCGAUCCUAGAAAAUGA